Molecule: ribosomal RNA, 497 nt
Filed under: uncultured bacterium
Lineage: Bacteria
Description: partial 16S ribosomal RNA
Rfam family: Bacterial small subunit ribosomal RNA
Source: RNAcentral
GAUGAACGCUGGCGGCGUGCCUAAUACAUGCAAGUCGAGCGAACAGACGAGGAGCUUGCUCCUCUGACGUUAGCGGCGGACGGGUGAGUAACACGUAGAUAACCUACCUAUAAGACUGGGAUAACUUCGGGAAACCGGAGCUAAUACCGGAUAAUAUAUUGAACCGCAUGGUUCAAUAGUGAAAGACGGUUUUGCUGUCACUUAUAGAUGGAUCCGCGCCGCAUUAGCUAGUUGGUAAGGUAACGGCUUACCAAGGCAACGAUGCGUAGCCGACCUGAGAGGGUGAUAGGCCACACUGGAACUGAGACACGGUCCAGACUCCUACGGGAGGCAGCAGUAGGGAAUCUUCCGCAAUGGGCGAAAGCCUGACGGAGCAACGCCGCGUGAGUGAUGAAGGUCUUCGGAUCGUAAAACUCUGUUAUUAGGGAAGAACAAAUGUGUAAGUAACUAUGCACGUCUUGACGGUACCUAAUCAGAAAGCCACGGCUAACUACGUG